GCACGUUAUGGUGGGCACUCUAAGGAGACUGCCGGUGACAAACCGGAGGAAGGUGGGGAUGACGUCAAGUCAUCAUGGCCCUUACGGCCUGGGCUACACACGUGCUACAAUGGUCGGUACAGAGGGUUGCCAAGCCGCGAGGUGGAGCUAAUCUCACAAAACCGAUCGUAGUCCGGAUCGCAGUCUGCAACUCGACUGCGUGAAGUCGGAAUCGCUAGUAAUCGCAAAUCAGAAUGUUGCGGUGAAUACGUUCCCGGGCCUUGUACACACCGCCCGUCACACCAUGGGAGUGGGUUGCACCAGAAGUAGCUAGUCUAACCUUCGGGGGGACGGUUACCACGGUGUGAUUCAUGACUGGGGUGAAGUCGUAACAAGUUACCCCGUAG
This 386-nucleotide ribosomal RNA is filed under the name Pseudomonas entomophila. RNAcentral describes it as "bacterial SSU rRNA". It matches the Rfam family "Bacterial small subunit ribosomal RNA", at positions 1121 to 1506 of the family's 1533-position model. Lineage: Bacteria; Pseudomonadati; Pseudomonadota; Gammaproteobacteria; Pseudomonadales; Pseudomonadaceae. The record is from RNAcentral.